AUGGCCGCUGAGGAGGCCAAGAAGGUGGAGGUGGAGACGACCACGGCCACCAAGGACAUCGCCGAGGAGAAGGCCAUCGUGCCCGUGCCCGACAACUCCAAGGCCAUCGUCGCCGUCGUCAAGGAUGCUGAAGGUACAAGAGGUUCAUCUGAAAGAGAUGCUUAUCUCACCAAGAUAAUGUCCGAGAAGAGGACGACGCUGAUCAACGCCUGGGAGGAGAGCGAGAAGGCGAGAGCCGAGAACAGGGCUGCCAAGAAUCUGUCCUUCAUCACUUCAUGGGAGCAUGCCAAGGAAGCCGAGAUGGAGGCCGAGCUGAAAAAGCUCGAGGAGCAACUGGAGAAGAAGAAAGCCGCGUACAAGGAGAAGCUGAAGAACAAGCUCGCGAUGCUCCACAAGUCGGCUGAGGAGAAGAGAGCCAUGGCGGAGGCGAAGCGAGGUGAGGAGAUAAUCAUGGCGGAGGAGAUGGCCGCCAAGUACCGUGCGAAAGGCGAGGCCCCAACGAAGCUCUUCGGGCUCCUGAAAGCAUGA
Molecule: ribosomal RNA, 528 nt
Filed under: Triticum aestivum (bread wheat)
Lineage: Eukaryota; Viridiplantae; Streptophyta; Magnoliopsida; Poales; Poaceae
Description: partial small subunit ribosomal RNA
Source: RNAcentral